UGUGCGGCGGGUCCGGGCCGGUGGUAGCGAGGGGGCUCCGGUGCCGGGAGCCUCCUCCUCGGUCCCCCGGGGCUGCCGCUCGGCGUUGGGGGCUGUGGGAAGCGCGUUCGUGGGGUGCCGGCACCGUGCUCCCUGACAGAGCUGCUCUGCUCCAAGCCGCAGGGACGGUUCACCUCAGGCCGUCUGCCUUUAACACGGAAAAUCGCUGCUUUUCUUAAAAUAAGCCAUCUCAGAGCUUCCCGAGAAUAUGUAGCUAUGAAAACAAAAGUCAGGAACCCGACGCGAUUUGUUCCGAGCAGCUGAGGGUGCAGGAAAUCCCCAUCCUGGGAUGCGUGAGGCCAGCCGGCUGGUGCCUGCGCUGGGAUCGCCGCAGACCUUGCCUGCGCCUUCAUCUGCGAGGAGGGGAAAUUGCAGGGGAAACUGCACCUUUUUGCAGGGGAAACGCAAUCCGGGGUUGGUGUGAACACGGCAUGUCACACCUUUCCUACUCCUGACACCACCCGGUGUUGAAGCAACCUCUGGAGUCUGCCUUUGACUCCCCAGUCUAUUUGGCUUCUGCUCACCUUUGUUGUUCCAGCAUCAAGAUCUUGGGAGAAGUCAGCUGUUGUUAAACAAUCUUACUUAAAUUAACAGAACAAGAUAGCAUGGGAGGGGCCUCUGUAUGUUGUCUACUCCAAAACAGGGGGAGGACCAUGCUCACAUAUUUGCUGCAGUUAUUUCCCACCUCCUCGGUGACGCCGCUGUGCCAGGAGAACAUCAGUUCAAUCAACAACAAUUUUAAUUUGCCAAUUUCUAAGCUUCACUCAUACAGAGGACCCAAGGAUGGCAGCUUCUUCACCCCACCGCACUCACCACAGCACAGACACUGCUAUUCUUGAUAUACAGGAGCUUGAUUCAUUCUCUGCAUGGAAGAGGAUUUCUUCUACAAGUUUCUUUCCUUUUUAAAGGCCAGGAGGGGUUGUCCUGUUCCCUCAACAGGUCUUUGUGAAGGCAAAGGAUGACUACCAGGUGACAUGGUUGCUAUCUGUCCCCAGAGACAUCCACAAAAAGUGAAGGCAGGGCUUGUGGCUGGGUUGGGCUUAAACACACAGCAGUAAUAACACAGGGCUAAUAAUAGUAUUUUAGCUGAGUGCUAAAACACAGGAAAGCUGUUUUUAACUGAGUGUGGCAUGGUAUUUUUGAAACAGGAAGGAUGUUUGAUGUAAAUUUUGUGAGAAUAAUUCAUAUUUGAUAUGUACAUGAAUACAGAUGUAAUUUGGAUGGAACGCACAGGACGUUUAGAAAUGGAAAUCUCAUUAUCCUAGCAGUAAUUCAGGACUAUCAGAGCGAAGCUUAUGAUUUUUAAUCAGUAAGACGGUAUUAGCAUAUCAGAGUUAAUUGCAAUAAAGUAAAAGAUGCUGAUUAAAGAACAUUUUUCUCCACGUAAGAGUUUCUAAAUCCUAUAUGCAACAGCACCAGUGGGCCAAAUCUAGCCUCUGAUUUGUUGAACCCUUCACCUUGCUGAGACAAGGAGAGAAAAGGUGUUUUUGCUUCCUGUCAGGCUGGCCCUGUACAGCAGAGCGAGGAGUACAGGCUGCCCUUCGCACUCACUUGGCUUCCUGGGCCUGUCAGUGGGGCUUGGCAACACGCAAGCAUCCUUUCACAGAGGUCAGUUUGCAAGGCCAAGCUUUUACGUGUGUAAAAACACCUCAUGCAAGAGAAUUAGCAAUCACUGCAGCAAUGAAAUAAGCACCUAGACAGGAAGCUUUAAAAAGUCAGCUUUCUGGUUUUUUUUUGUUUGUUUGUUUGUUUGUUUUGGUUUGUUUUUUUUUUGUAGAUACAGCUCUACCAUUUGCUGGAGCAGAGCACAGAGCAUCCCCGCUGCACAGACCUGUGUUCAUUGGGGUAGGAACCCAUCACUUGUGGUGUAAGCCCAAAUGCAGUCUUUGCUGUGUUACGUAUAAAGGGAAAAACACCAUGAUACAGACGUUCUGAUUAUUGAAACUCCUUUUCAUUACCUUUGGAGCUAGGAGGACAGAGGCUAAAACUGUGGGUGAAAAUGCACAUCUCUUCCUGAUAAUGUGACAAAACCCCAGGUGCAAGAAACAGAAAGGCUCAGCCCUGCUGUUAGAGGGAUGCGCUGAGUCCCCAGGGCAUCUCGCGUAUUUCUUCCGUACUGAGCUGCAGAAAUAGUGACACCUAGCAGGGCAGCAGCCAGCUGCAAGGGCAAGGGAUGGAGCAGCCACAGGGCUGUAAAACUGAGACCAGUGCUGUCCGUCCAAGCAUCCUCCUUUUCAAAUCCACAAUGUCACAAGCUUAAAUUUGCAACAAGUUCUGCUUGAGGAGUUACCACAGAGUAUUUUUGAUAGGCGCAUUUGCAAAAAGCAUCAUUAGAGUUUAUCCUUUGUAAAGAUACAUUGCUACAGGCCAUGUGCUGCAGUCAGGACAGUAUUGCUUAUAUCCCUGCAAAAUGUCCAGGGAUCAAACAGUUUGUUCUAGAUUAUUAUUUAAGAUUUGGACCAGGAUCAUGCAUGAAACAGUCUCUUUUAUAGAAUCACAGUGUCAGCAAAGUGCUGGAGCUCAUGGGGUCUCUACUCCACGUCCUGCUCACAGGAGUUAGCUCCAGCCCUGACCUGCUUGGCAUCAGCAAACAAAGCCAAGGACAUAUAUUUCUGUUGGAAAAUGUUGCAACUUUCCCCUUAUAUAUGGCGCACUUGUUUUUUCCCUUACAAAGGCACUUCUCUGGCUUAUUUUAAAACCCACUGAUCCUGAGAUGUCAACAGCUUUAUUAUCUCCAUGCCUGGGGGCCAUUCCUGCAACAAGUGUGACGGAGAACAGCUAAGUGCUGGAAUUCAGAGAGCCAAGUUCACAGUUGCAAAAAUUUCCUUCCAAACCAUGUACCAAUAAAAGCACAUCUUUUCCUUGCCCUGGAUAGGAAGCCUCAGUAGGAGCUCAAUGUGUUGUUUUGUUUCUUUUGAUGUUUUUUGAAGCCUUUCUUGGAUACUGUCUGAGCUGGUCUCUGUGUUUUCCUCUGCCCGGCACUCAGACUUCAGACCCGGUGCUCAUCCACAUCUGAGGAUGCAGCUGCCACUGCGAUGGCGUGCCCCAGCACCACUCCUUACCAUUGGGAUCAAAGAGGUCUCAAAAUAAAUCUGUGUAUUGAACUGUCAUCUGUCCUGAAGCUGUCCUUUGGGAAGUUUGGCGGAUUCUGGCCUGGCACUCCUGCGAGGUCCCCAUGCCACAGUGCUCUCUCUCAGCCGACUCACCUGAUUCAUCUCCUCUGAAAAUGUGGCUCAGAAUUGUAAUACUUCUGGCAAUGACAAAGUAUUUUUCAGUGUUGGUCUGCUUUGCUGAUGCCUUCAGUUCAAGUACAAGGACUUCAGUACCAGUUCUGUCAUCAGGGAUCUAGCUGCCCUUAGCUAUUUCGAGAAAAUGGCUUAGAACAGAUCCUUUUCUCCUCCCCUUCGAAAACAGAACUGUGUAUGGGUAAGAUAGCCAUUUCCAUGGAGAACAAAGAACAAACUGAAGCAAUUCUGUUGACUCCUAAUGUCUCCUUUCUGUCUCCAGAAAUAGCUCACAUUUUUGUUUCCAAAUCAAUUGAGAAAGGGUAAUUGGAAAUAGGAAAUGGCAAUUUGUCAUUCCUGGGUGACACAAGCGUGUCUAGUUUGUGCAGGAAUGGCCAUACAGCGCCAGACGUGAAGUCUCAUACGUCUACACCAGUGUAAAACUGCUGCAGUGAGACUUUCCCAGCACCAUGCACAGUCCUGCAGGGCUUCUCUGUGUCUCAGGUUCUCUUUGUGCUUAACAGCCCAUGAUUAUUUUCAUCUAAAAAUAACACGCUCUAAGGUCCUGGAAGAAUUAAGCAGCUUUCCCGUGCCAAGAAGAAGUGCUGACUUUCUGUGUCAGUUCAAAGUUAUUCUUGGUAGUGAAUUAGCCCUUGUUCAGACCACACGUACUUUAAUGGGCUCCUUGACUCUACCUGCCUUGCUCACAGCAGCUUCAGGAGCCAAGUGCCAAUAUCCACACAGGAGUCAAAUGCUGCAGGGCAGACUGCUUUCAUUUGGGAAAUAAAGCCUGUCAGUGCUGCAGUUAUCCAAGAGGAGGUCUCUAACACCAGCUGACAUCAUCAAAGCUUUUGCAAAGUGUGUUUUCCUUACACAGAAUACGUGGGGGCUUAAAAUCACUAUUAUAGUAAUGUGAUAGUUUCAAAUUCAAAAAUCAUUUCUCCACAUUAAAUAAACUAGUAAGAAAAUACUUGUGCAUUAGCGGGAAAAUUUAUGAUGGCUACAGAAGCUACAAAAGCAUACUGAGGCUGCCAGCUUUGGUGUGACCAGAAGAGCC
Cygnus atratus (black swan) is the source of this 4320-nucleotide long non-coding RNA. RefSeq lists it as uncharacterized. Lineage: Eukaryota; Metazoa; Chordata; Aves; Anseriformes; Anatidae. The record is from RefSeq and is a predicted model, not a curated record. The transcript is spliced from 3 exons.